GCCCUGUAGGGUUUUCUGUUAGACACUGAUCAUAUAUUCCCUUACAAAAACAUUCACUCCCCCUUUUCAGAAAGUACCAAAUAAUGCUUAUUGAAGAGCAAUUAUCAAUAUUAAUUCAAUUAUCUAAUUACAUGAAGCUUAAAAAGAUGAUAAAUAUUAUAACUUUAACUUUUCAACAUGGUUUAAACUGAUGUCUGCUAG
This 201-nucleotide long non-coding RNA is filed under the name Mytilus galloprovincialis (Mediterranean mussel). Lineage: Eukaryota; Metazoa; Mollusca; Bivalvia; Mytilida; Mytilidae. The record is from RNAcentral.